CACGUAGGCGGAUUGGAAAGUUGGGGGUGAAAUCCCGGGGCUCAACCCCGGAACUGCCUUCAAAACUCCCAGUCUUGAGUUCGAGAGAGGUGAGUGGAAUUCCGAGUGUAGAGGUGAAAUUCGUAGAUAUUCGGAGGAACACCAGUGGCGAAGGCGGCUCACUGGCUCGAUACUGACGCUGAGGUGCGAAAGCGUGGGGAGGCAAAACA
Molecule: ribosomal RNA, 209 nt
Filed under: uncultured bacterium
Lineage: Bacteria
Description: partial 16S ribosomal RNA
Rfam family: Bacterial small subunit ribosomal RNA
Source: RNAcentral